This is a non-coding RNA of Podarcis lilfordi (Lilford's wall lizard), 72 nucleotides long. The record is from the annotation of a GenBank genome assembly. Lineage: Eukaryota; Metazoa; Chordata; Lepidosauria; Squamata; Lacertidae.
GACCAAGCUCAGUCAGUAGAGCAUGAGUCUCUUUUAACCUCAGCGUCGUGGGUUCGAGUCCCACGUUGGGCG